CUCCCCUCCUCCUUGGCGCCUACUCCUCCAGGCCCCGACACACUACCCCGCGUGUCUGGCCCCAGGCAACUUCUUGUCCGGUUCCCCCCCUCGAACCCUCCCUCCCCAGCACCUCCUAGAGAAACCCAGGAUAAGAAAGCCCCAGGAGCCAGGGCUGGCUUCGCCCUCCUGUAGACUGCGGGGAGCCAAGCUGCACAGCCAGGUGGAGUUCCCGACCUCACCACCACUACCACCGCUUCCAAGCAGCGUGGACCCCAGGCCGCGCUCUAUGACCCUGACUCUCCCUGUCCCAGCCUGACAGCUAUUUCACCCUAGAGCUGCCUGGGAAAAGAGAGCCCCCACUGAAGAACGGCAUGGCUCAUACUGGCCUGUGCUACUGUCUUCACUAAUAACUGAGAUGGGCGGGCCCAGUCCAUUAUGGGUGGUACCGUGUCUCGGCUGUAUAAGAAAACCAGCUGAGCAGGAGCCACCCAGUGAGCAAACCAGCUAACGGUGUUUCCCCGUGGUUCUUGCAUUGCCCUGACUUCCUUCAAUGAUGGACUGUGACCUGAAAAUAUAAGCUGAGGUAAACCCUUUCCUCCCUUAAAUUGCUUUUGGUCCUGGUGUUUAUUACAGUAACAGAAAUCAAACUGGAUCACCUUGUCUAGUAAAUGUUUUGCAGAAGCUGGACAUUGUGGCUUAGCAAGCCGUGGCAGGAGGAAUUCCAGGCCAGCCUCAGCAGUACAGUGAGUUCCCAGCUAGCCUAAGCUACAGUAUCAAACUCGGCCUAGGAGAACAGCAACAACAAAAUAAAGCUGCUUAGAAUUUCACUUCCACAAAGAAGAUACUUUUCCCACAGUUCCUAAAGUAGAAUGAACUCCUGUCCACAUUCUGUUUCCCCACUUCCUGUUUUUUUUUUUUUUGGUUUUUGGUUUUUCUGGUUUUCCAUACAGGGUUACUCUGUAUAGCUCUGGCUCUCCUAGAACUCACUCUGUAGACCAGGCUGGCCUCAAAAUGAUAGAGAUCCACCCGCCUCUGCCUCUCAAGUGAUGGGAUUAAAGGCGUGUGCCACCAUGGCCAGAUUUUUUUUUUAAUUCAUAUAAUUCAUUAUGUUGCCCUAACUACUCUAGAACUCACUAGGUAAGAGAAGGUGGCCUUAAACUUGCAUUGAUUCUCCUGCCUGAGUGUUGAUGAUUACUGGUAUGAGCCACCAUGCCUAUUUUCCCAGUCUUGUUAGAGACAUGCCCUUAACUCCAAGAUAAGGGAAAACACCGCCAGAGCUUGGGAAGAUAACACUGGGGCGUGGCAGGGACUUUGUGAUCUGUCCCCGUGGAGGAAACCACAGACUUCAUGCACAGGAAUUCAGGCCCAGUGUCUCCAGGCACUCUUCUUAGUUUGGGAUGUUGAUAAUUCUUUAAAAUUGCAGAGCAAGGGGCCAGAGGACACAGGUUGAGUCCCAGCACCCGCAUGGCCGCUCAAACAACUGUAACCCCCGUUCCAGUGAAUCUAAGGCUUUUUUCUGACCUCACUGGGCACCAGGCACCCAUGUGGUGCACAGACAUACAUGCAAGCAAAACACUCAUACACGUAAAAUAAAUACAUCUUAAAAAAAAAAAAAAAGGAACAACCUCCAGAAUAGAGGAAGAGUAACAAAGCAAAUGUGACUACAAGUAUCCAUGUAGCCUGUUGGCUACAGAUUCUCUCUCCAGGGCAACUUCGAAGAAGCUUGCACAUUUCGGUCAUCCCGGCCAUUCCCAAGGUCACAGCCCUGGGGAAUUUCCACUGCUCUCCUUACUCAGCAUAGUUAGGCCCUGGCUGAGUGUGUGAGUUUGUGUUCACGCCCCACGCUGAAGAUCAGAACAUCACAUGAAAGAUGGAUUCACUUUACUUUCUCUAGUUUUCUGGGGGUUUCCGGGAUGCCUGGGCUUCCCCUCCCCCGAUCCCAGUCUCCUGCUCACGGCGUUCCUUGCAGGCAGGAUCCUGCUAGUCAAGGCUGAGCCAGGUAGUCCGCCAGAACACUGUCUGCUAGGUGCUACCUCCAGGAAUCUUCUGGGAAACACUGGGCCCUCAUUCCUGUGCACAACUCUGUGGUCUCUUUCACAGGAAGUGAGCACAGUCCCUGCCAAGCCUUAGAAGGCCACCCAAGGCCCAGGAGACCUUUCUGUUCAGAUCCACAAGAAGAUCUGGGAGCCAGGUACUGAAAACUCAUAUCUGCCUGGAGUGGCCUAGAUAGGCCCCACAAAGGAACACGUCAGGGAUAGCUGUUAACAGGGGUUCCAGCUGUGAGUUCACAGGGAUUCCGGGGUUGCGGAGGGCCUUGUGCUGGGAUUCACGGCUUCAAUGAUGUUUCAAAAUUCUUAAAUGUGUGCAUGUGGCUCAUCUUGUGCUCAUGUGUGCAUUCAUGUGUAUGGAGCCUGCGGACUAGCUUGGGUGCCACCUUGUGCCUGGAUUUUCAUUUUUUUUUUUGGUUCUUUUUGUUUUUCAAGACAGGGUUUCUCUGUGUAGCUUUGGCUGUCCCGGAACUCACCCUGUAGGCCAGACUGGCCUCGACUGGAACUCUCAGAGAUCUGCCUGCCUCUGCUUCCUGAGUUAUUUAUUUUUGUUGUUGUUAUUAUUUUCAGACUAGGGCCUUGUGUUGCCCUAAGACCUAGAAAUUCACGCUUGCGAAGGACCUACUGGAAACCAUUGCUGGGGGAAGCUAUGGUGGGGGUUCAGUUUGCUCUGUCUUUCGCCUCUGCUGGGUAGCAGAAGGGAAGACGUAGACAUCAGAAAGGGGGUUGGGGUUGAUGCAUUCCCAUCAGCCCUGUGUAGACUCGUUUGACCGUCCGGAGGAUUUAGAGCCCAGUGGUUGGGAAAUCAAGAGGUGAGGGAGAAGCACAGUCCAGCCAGUGGGCAGGGACUGCUGUGGUCUGGGCUCUGUGGUAUCCCCUGACCCUGACCUCAGGCUGACAGAGAGCCACUA
This is a long non-coding RNA of Meriones unguiculatus (Mongolian gerbil), 2941 nucleotides long. RefSeq lists it as uncharacterized. The transcript is spliced from 3 exons. Lineage: Eukaryota; Metazoa; Chordata; Mammalia; Rodentia; Muridae. The record is from RefSeq and is a predicted model, not a curated record.